AUUGAACGCUGGCGGCAUGCCUUACACAUGCAAGUCGAACGGCAGCAUGAUCUAGCUUGCUAGAUUGAUGGCGAGUGGCGAACGGGUGAGUAAUACAUCGGAACGUGCCCUGUAGUGGGGGAUAACUAGUCGAAAGAUUAGCUAAUACCGCAUACGACCUGAGGGUGAAAGUGGGGGACCGCAAGGCCUCAUGCUAUAGGAGCGGCCGAUGUCUGAUUAGCUAGUUGGUGAGGUAAAGGCUCACCAAGGCGACGAUCAGUAGCUGGUCUGAGAGGACGAUCAGCCACACUGGGACUGAGACACGGCCCAGACUCCUACGGGAGGCAGCAGUGGGGAAUUUUGGACAAUGGGCGAAAGCCUGAUCCAGCAAUGCCGCGUGUGUGAAGAAGGCCUUCGGGUUGUAAAGCACUUUUGUCCGGAAAGAAAUGGCUUUGGUUAAUACCUGGGGUCGAUGACGGUACCGGAAGAAUAAGGACCGGCUAACUACGUG
This 490-nucleotide ribosomal RNA is filed under the name uncultured bacterium. RNAcentral's name for it is "partial 16S ribosomal RNA". It matches the Rfam family "Bacterial small subunit ribosomal RNA", at positions 30 to 507 of the family's 1533-position model. The record is from RNAcentral.